ACUUCUUUAUCACCGAGUGCUUGCACUCACCGAUAAAGAGUUGAGUGGCGAACGGGUGAGUAACACGUGGGCAACCUGCCCAAAAGAGGGGGAUAACACUUGGAAACAGGUGCUAAUACCGCAUAACCAUAGUUACCGCAUGGUAACUAUGUAAAAGGUGGCUAUGCUACCGCUUUUGGAUGGGCCCGCGGCGCAUUAGCUAGUUGGUGGGGUAAAGGCUUACCAAGGCAAUGAUGCGUAGCCGAACUGAGAGGUUGAUCGGCCACAUUGGGACUGAGACACGGCCCAAACUCCUACGGGAGGCAGCAGUAGGGAAUCCUCCACAAUGGGCGAAAGCCUGAUGGAGCAACGCCGCGUGGGUGAAGAAGGUCUUCGGAUCGUAAAACCCUGUUGUUAGAGAAGAAAGUGCGUGAGAGUAACUGUUCACGUUUCGACGGUAUCUAACCAGAAAGCCACGGCUAACUACGUGCCAGCAGCCGCGGUAAUACGUAGGUGGCAAGCGUUAUCCGGAUUUAUUGGGCGUAAAGGGAACGCAGGCGGUCUUUUAAGUCUGAUGUGAAAGCCUUCGGCUUAACCGGAGUAGUGCAUUGGAAACUGGGAGACUUGAGUGCAGAAGAGGAGAGUGGAACUCCAUGUGUAGCGGUGAAAUGCGUAGAUAUAUGGAAGAACACCAGUGGCGAAAGCGGCUCUCUGGUCUGUAACUGACGCUGAGGUUCGAAAGCGUGGGUAGCAAACAGGAUUAGAUACCCUGGUAGUCCACGCCGUAAACGAUGAAUGCUAAGUGUUGGAGAGUUUCCGCCCUCAGUGCUGCAGCUAACGCAAUA
This 824-nucleotide ribosomal RNA is filed under the name uncultured bacterium. RNAcentral describes it as "bacterial SSU rRNA". It matches the Rfam family "Bacterial small subunit ribosomal RNA", at positions 69 to 862 of the family's 1533-position model. The record is from RNAcentral.